This 527-nucleotide long non-coding RNA is filed under the name Rattus norvegicus (Norway rat). Its description in RNAcentral is "long non-coding RNA NONRATT028567". Lineage: Eukaryota; Metazoa; Chordata; Mammalia; Rodentia; Muridae. The record is from RNAcentral.
CAAAGACAUCCUGUCUGUGAGGAAAUACUGGUGUGAAGUGUCUCAGCAGCAGUGGCUAGAAUUGUUUUCCCUGUACAUCAGGCUGUAUCUCAAACCAUCACAGGACAUUAAUAGAGUUUUAGUGGCUAGAAUAAUUCAUGCUGUCACCAGAGGAUGCUGCUCACAGACUGAUGGAUUACCUUCAAAGUUCUUAGAUCUUUUUUCCAAGGCUAUUCAGUAUGCCAGGUAAUCCUACCACUUUGUUUCCCAUUGCAUCAAACUGCGUUAGAUCUUCUCGCCAUGACCAUGUUGUAGAUUUAGUGACUAAAUUAGACUGCCUUUUCAACAGUGGGUAUUCAGUUGCUCAGAUUUGUGAUGUAAAAUGUGAUUAUUCAGUAUAGUUAUAGUAGGUAGUGAUCAAAUCAGGAUAUUCCUAUUUUCUUGAAUACUAAGUUUUUAUUAUACAUAACUGGAUAGUCAUAUGUUUCGUUGUGAUAUUUCAUUUUUGUAUGCAUCUUGACCUCUGUUUUCCAUCCUAUAUGAAGAAA